UGCUUCUUGUUUAGCAUGGAGUGUGAAGGGAAAAGACAGAAAGUGGAACAUCAGAGGGUUCCCCACCCCUUUGGCUUGUGGUUUUGGGUUCUUGUUUUCGGACAGCUUUGAGGAUUAAAGAGGGAUUUCAUCUCAUCCACAUCUCUUUCUCUGUCUCUCCCUCUCUUUGCCUCAGUUUCGUGAGUUGAUCAGUUUGAUAAUUU
This is a long non-coding RNA of Hibiscus syriacus, 203 nucleotides long. RefSeq lists it as uncharacterized. Lineage: Eukaryota; Viridiplantae; Streptophyta; Magnoliopsida; Malvales; Malvaceae. The transcript has 4 exons. The record is from RefSeq and is a predicted model, not a curated record.